This 81-nucleotide small nucleolar RNA is filed under the name Sorex araneus (European shrew). RNAcentral's name for it is "Small nucleolar RNA U109 (ENSSARG00000019167.1)". The record is from RNAcentral. Lineage: Eukaryota; Metazoa; Chordata; Mammalia; Eulipotyphla; Soricidae.
UUGCAUGUAGAAAUACCUACUCCUCUUUUCUUUAGAGGCAGGAAUACCUGUGGAACAUGCCAUAGCUUCAGUUUGAAAAAA